UGGGGAAUAUUGGACAAUGGGCGAAAGCCUGAUCCAGCCAUGCCGCGUGUGUGAAGAAGGUCUUCGGAUUGUAAAGCACUUUAAGUUGGGAGGAAGGGCAGUAAGCGAAUACCUUGCUGUUUUGACGUUACCGACAGAAUAAGCACCGGCUAACUCUGUGCCAGCAGCCGCGGUAAUACAGAGGGUGCAAGCGUUAAUCGGAAUUACUGGGCGUAAAGCGCGCGUAGGUGGUUCGUUAAGUUGAAUGUAAAAGCCCCGGGCUCAACCUGGGAACUGCAUCCAAAACUGGCGAGCUAGAGUAGGGCAGAGGGUGGUGGAAUUUCCUGUGUAGUGGUGAAAUGCGUAGAUAUAGGAAGGAACACCAGUGGCGAAGGCGACCACCUGGGCUCAUACUGACACUGAGGUGCGAAAGCGUGGGGAGCAAACAGG
Molecule: ribosomal RNA, 429 nt
Filed under: Pseudomonadota bacterium
Lineage: Bacteria; Pseudomonadati; Pseudomonadota
Description: Proteobacteria bacterium partial 16S ribosomal RNA
Rfam family: Bacterial small subunit ribosomal RNA
Source: RNAcentral